Molecule: ribosomal RNA, 516 nt
Filed under: uncultured fungus
Lineage: Eukaryota; Fungi
Description: SSU rRNA
Rfam family: Eukaryotic small subunit ribosomal RNA
Source: RNAcentral
AUAAAAAACCAAUGCUUUCGGGCUCCUUGGUGAUUCAUGAUAACUUAACGAAUCGCAUGGCCUUGCGCCGGCGAUGGUUCAUUCAAAUUUCUGCCCUAUCAACUUUCGAUGGUAGGAUAGUGGCCUACCAUGGUUUCAACGGGUAACGGGGAAUUAGGGUUCGAUUCCGGAGAGGGAGCCUGAGAAACGGCUACCACAUCCAAGGAAGGCAGCAGGCGCGCAAAUUACCCAAUCCCAAUUCGGGGAGGUAGUGACAAUAAAUACUGGUACAGGGCUCUUUUGGGUCUUGUAAUUGGAAUGAGUACAAUUUAAAUCCCUUAACGAGGAACAAUUGGAGGGCAAGUCUGGUGCCAGCAGCCGCGGUAAUUCCAGCUCCAAUAGCGUAUAUUAAAGUUGUUGCAGUUAAAAAGCUCGUAGUUGAACCUUGGGUCUGGCUGCCCGGUCCGCCUAACCGCGUGCACUGGUGCGGCCGGAUCUUUCCUUCUGGCUAACCUCAUGCCCUUUACUGGGUGUGCU